This 443-nucleotide ribosomal RNA is filed under the name uncultured bacterium. Its description in RNAcentral is "partial 16S ribosomal RNA". It matches the Rfam family "Bacterial small subunit ribosomal RNA", at positions 338 to 795 of the family's 1533-position model. The record is from RNAcentral.
CCUACGGGGGACUGCAGUGGGGAAUAUUGGGCAAUGGGCGCAAGCCUGACCCAGCAACGCCGCGUGAAGGAAGAAGGCUUUCGGGUUGUAAACUUCUUUUCUCAGGGACGAAGAAAGUGACGGUACAUGAGGAAUAAGCCACGGCGAACUACGUGCCAGCCGCCGCGGUAAUACGGAGGGGGCAAGUGUUAUCCGUAUUUAGUGGGUGUAAGGGCCGUGUAGGCGGGAGCGCAAGUCAGUUGUGAAACCUCAGGGCGCAACCCUGGUCCUGCAUUUGAAACUGUGUUGCUUGAGUGCUGGAGAGGCAGGCGGAAUUCCGUGGGUAGCGGUGAAAUGCGUAGAUAUACGGAGGAACACCAGUGGCGAAGGCGGAUUGCUGGACAGUAACUGACGCUGAGGCGCGAAGGCGUGGGGAGCAAACAGGAUUAGAUACCCCAGUAGUC